This 119-nucleotide small nucleolar RNA is filed under the name Mus pahari (shrew mouse). RNAcentral's name for it is "snoRNA (MGP_PahariEiJ_G0034127.1)". Lineage: Eukaryota; Metazoa; Chordata; Mammalia; Rodentia; Muridae. The record is from RNAcentral.
UUGUAGCUACUUAAGCUAUGCAAGUUCCUUUCCUCAAAGAGGCUUAGAGAACAAAGGCCUCAAAUAUUGGCCUCCUUAAGAGGCCUAGAUAGGUCGCCCAAGAUAACUUAUGCACAAUG